Molecule: long non-coding RNA, 2732 nt
Filed under: Homo sapiens (human)
Lineage: Eukaryota; Metazoa; Chordata; Mammalia; Primates; Hominidae
Description: HSALNT0035052
Source: RNAcentral
CUGUAAAGAGGUGAAGUGUGGACCUGAUGAAGCCAUUUCUGCUGCCAAGAGAGAAGCGAACCUGAAGACAAUUUCAAUAUACAGAGGUCGGGAGAACGAAAAAUUGCAAUAAAACAGGACUGGGGCUCUGCUGACGCCACACAUUUCUGGAUCAUUCUGUGCCUGAACAUACCCGUGGACUGGUUAAUUAUUUGAACCAGUAAAUUAUCUUUUUUGAUUAGGCCAGAAUGGGCUGAGACUUCUGUUGCUUGCAACCAAAAGGGCCCUAAAAGAUACACUCCCCCGAAACCGCAAAGGAAGGCUGCCUGUCGCAAGAAGCAAGAGGAUGGGUUUCUGUUCCUUUUCACCAAAAACAAAACAAAAACACCUCUAACCCUGCUGGUCUAUCCCACUGGUCUGAGAGCUUCUGGGGACAUCGCCACUGUGUGCCUUGGCCUUUCUGAAUAACGCAUGGCUGUGACGUCGCGCCAUCGUGACCUCCCCGUCCUACACACCCGGGUCGCAGCAUUGGAAACACUUCUCUGCAGCAGCAGCACCACAGUGGACAUGGUUAUAGGGUGGCUUGGUGAGAGCAGGGCUGCGCUGCCCCUUCUGUCACCCCCACCCUGUGCCUGGAACAGCACUUGGGCACAGAGCCAGGACCCAUCAGAUUCAGCGACCUGACCCCAUCUUCCUGGGAAAACACUUGUUCGUUCCUGCAGGAAUGGCAGCUGGUGCCCUUCCAGUCAGAAUCAGCUUCUCUUUUCCUGUUGAAGCCACCAUCACUGCUCCCUUGUCCUAAGGCAGCUCAACUAAGGAGGUGCCCACUCGGCCUUCCCUGCUCCAGCCUCAAGAUGCCUUCCUCAGGCUCCACAUUUUCCCUCCAUACUUUGCACCUGUUCAGGGCACAGCCCUCAUCAUGCCCCUCAGGACUCCACUUGAGGCCUCUUACUUCAGGGAGAGACCAAGAAGAGGGGCCUGAAGCACUUCCUGCAGAAAGGAGACCCAGCCCCUGCCAGAGGCCUGUGUGGCUUCUUAUCUCCUUAGACCGGAGCAGUUGGAGGCUGGGUCAGAAAGGCAGAAAGGAACAGAAACCAACAAUGGGCAGGAAUGUCCUCCAGCUACAACCUAUAGGCGCAGCUACAGCCAACAGAUGGAGUUUCACUGUCUGUCGGCCAGGCUGGAGUGCAGUGGCGCAAUCUCGGCUCACCACAACCUCCACCUCCCAGGUUCAAGCAAUUCUCAUGCCUCAGCCUCCCAAGUAGUUGGGAUUACAGGCACCCGCUAGCAUGCCCAGCUAAUUUUGGUAUUUUUAGUAGAGACGGGGUUUCACCAUGUUGGCCAGGCUGGUCUAGAACUCCUGACCUCAGGUGAUCCACCCGUCUCGGCCUCCCAAAGUGCUGGGAUUACAGGCGUGAGCCACCACUCCUGGCCUAGGAUGCAAAUUUUAGGUUAUGUGUAUUUUACCACAAAUGAAAAAAGAAAAAGAUUCACAAUUCCAGUCAGGAGAAAGGCACUGUCUUCUAUACUGCUCAGAGGAGAUGUCAGCAUGACAUCUUGGGAGACCUAUUGUCAGUGUGCAUUAAAAUUUAAAUAUGCUAGGCCGGGCGCGGUGGCUCACGCCUGUAAUCGCAGCACUUUGGGAGGCCUAGGCGGGAGGAUCACCUGAGGCCAGGAGUUUGAGACCAGCCUGGCCAACAUUGUGAAACCCCGUCUCUACUAAAAAUACAAAAAUUAGCUGGAAAUGCUGGCAGGUGCCUGUAAUCCCAGCUACUCGGGAGGCUGAGGUGGGAGGAUCACUUGAACCCCGGGAGGUUGAGGCUGCAGUGAGCAGAGAUCGUGCCACUGCACUCCAGCCUGGGCAACAGAGCAAGACUAGCACUAGAGCUACCAGAGGAGUCCCAAUACCUGCUUGGACAACGUGGAUAAAGCUGUGACAUCUGGAACAGCUGUAGCCUUUUCACUGCUAUGGAGGAAGACUUGGAGGCUCCAGACAGCAGAGGCUGAGCACAGGGAGAAACCAUAUCUUGGUGACAUGAUUUGCACCCGUGGAUAAACUUUGCCAGCAACUACUUGAUCAACUUCCAGAUUUUUCAAUUACAUGAACCAAAAAUCCUGCCCCUGCUUUUCUCUUUGAGACAGAGUCUCACUAUGUUGCCCAGGCUGACCUCGAACUCCUGGGCUCAAGCGAAAAUUCCCUUUCCUAUAGGUCAGUUUGCAUCGAGUUCUCUCUGCUUUGUAACAUAAAAAUGUCGGACAACACUUUCUUUUGCAAUCAGAAUUUAACUAAUUAACACAAAAACAAUAAAUACAUUCCCCAAGGUCAAAUCUUCUCUUACCAGCUUUAAGAAAGCCUGCAAGUUAUUUUUAGUUCUUCCUUUGCCCUCAGAUGUUUCUGGCUUUUGAAUAAAAUAUGCAAGUGCCGUGUUGAGCGAAUUCUCACAUUAAGCUUGUCCUGAAUGGGGUUAAGAUAUCAGGACUACUUGAAAUUAGAAAAUAUUUUUGAGCCCCCACUAUGGACAAAGCCCCAUCAAGGGUGUGAUAAGAGCCGAAGAUAUCAUUAGAUGCAAUUUCUGCUCCAGGGGUCAAUGAGGAACAAACCUGCCUUCAUGAACAGCACCCACUUAGGAGGGAAGCUCCUGGAAGCCAAGCCCACUAUCUGGCUGGUUUACUGCUGUAUCUCCAGUGCCUAGAUUAGUGCCUGGCACAUUGCCAAGUAUAUAUUUUUAUAAUUGAAUAAAAAUAAUAGAAGU